GACGAACGCUGGCGGCGUGCCUAAUACAUGCAAGUUGAGCGCUGAAGGUUGGUACUUGUACCCACUGGAUGAGCAGCGAACGGGUGAGUAACGCGUGGGGAAUCUGCCUUUGAGCGGGGGACAACAUUUGGAAACGAAUGCUAAUACCGCAUAAAAACUUUAAACACAAGUUUUAAGUUUGAAAGAUGCAAUUGCAUCACUCAAAGAUGAUCCCGCGUUGUAUUAGCUAGUUGGUGAGGUAAAGGCUCACCAAGGCGAUGAUACAUAGCCGACCUGAGAGGGUGAUCGGCCACAUUGGGACUGAGACACGGCCCAAACUCCUACGGGAGGCAGCAGUAGGGAAUCUUCGGCAAUAGACGAAAGUCUGACCGAGCAACGCCGCGUGAGUGAAGAAGGUUGUCGGAUCGUAAAACUCUGUUGGUAGAGAAGAACGUUGGUGAGAGUGGAAAGCUCAUCAAGUGACGGUAACUACCCAGAAAGGGACGGCUAACUACGUG
RNAcentral lists this ribosomal RNA (497 nucleotides) under uncultured bacterium. Its description in RNAcentral is "partial 16S ribosomal RNA". It matches the Rfam family "Bacterial small subunit ribosomal RNA", at positions 28 to 507 of the family's 1533-position model. The record is from RNAcentral.